AAGGCGGGGAGGAAUUUUGUUUCGGAACGUCUAAAAGAUCGCUUGCAAGAAAUUCGGAUGAUUCGCGCCUGCGGAUUCUGUAAUGCGCGAGUGAAAGUUGUUGUUUAUAAUGACCACCAUUACGCUGUUCGCACAGGUAUGCGCACGCGUCAACAGCCACCGACUGAAUGCGUGCGCCAUGAUCAAAUCAUCCAAACGCCGUUUAUAUGCGAAAAUGCAAAAUGCCAUGAACGUCGUACCCAAAACACCACGCCAAAAAUGUCAAAGAAAACAAAGAUAAAAAACUCAUGAGAAAUCAAAUUUUCAAAUGCGCCACUUUCACCCCAAUCUCCUGUGGUGAAAUAUCACACCCAGACCUCAACACGACAGACUUGAUUCUAUUAACGGUAACAAUACUGAUCCACUCCCCGGCAACUGACGGCCGUACGAGGAGAUCCAAACACGCCUCCACCUCCUGGUUUGAUAUCGGGCAUCUCAAGGAGUCCCGAAUAUUUUGAAUGAUGGUGUUCCAACUAUAUGGCUUUUUAUGUGAUGGUGUGACGGUCGCGGCGGGAGAUAAAGACCCACGUCCCCCACUCAAUAAAGAAGAAGACGAAAUCGAACAUGACGGCCUCAGUAAAACCAAUACUCCAACAACUUCUUCAACCAAAUCGACGGCUGAGCGGCGUAGUAUGGCUUCCUUUGACAGCGGGGGAGCCAGCGUCGUUUGCUUGAGUUGUUUGUUCUGGAUUCUUUGAAGGAGCCCGUUUCGUCGUCCUGCGGUACCUGCACCACACGAGCUUCUUGCGUCAGAUGCUGCUCUUUCACCACAUUUGCGACUUUCGGGAUUAUCGACCGCUGCUUUCACCCCCAAUACUCCUCUUUGGAAAUCGAGAAGACGUUGUUGUCCAAUGCUUAGCGAGUUAAAGAUAGUGGAUGAAUCAUGGAUGGGAGCCAGUGGGAUGGUGUGUAGGAAAUCGACGUUUAAUUCUUUCUGAUCAGGAUCCUUUAGGUUUUUCCGCCAGAUGCGUCCCAGAUUGCGAGUGAAUAGAUCGUUUAGCUCAGCUUCGCUAAAUGGGGGCCCGAAUCUGUUAUUUGGGGUGUUUGUGUUUAGUAACUCCAAACAAAACUUUCCAAUACCAUAUUUGGCGAUUCUGAAGCGCGGACCAGUGUUUGAGCCUUUCUCUCUGUCUGAUAUUUCCAGGUCGCUUUCUAAUAUAUACAGCAGUCUUUGUAGGUCUUUCUUCUCGACCUUGCGCUUUUUCCAUAUCUUCUCUAUGCAAGGUAGUAGUUGGUUGAGGUCCGCAGAUGUGUUUCGGCUAUUAUGAGCAUAGUGUAGCGAUAAAGCAGUAAGAAAGGAAGAAUGUAGGUUUGUAAGAUCGUAGAAGGAUUGGGGCCAGUCGUCAUCACCAUUAUCUAAUAUUUCAUUAGGAUUGAUGUUGGUAUUGGAUAGGGUUGAUUGCUGAAAUCUGCGGUUAUCGGUUGUGGAUGGAGAUGGGCUGGGGGAUUGAAAACGACUCGUUGGCGUUGAGGGAGAUGUCGACCCUGCCGUAAUACAUGACGAAGAGGAA
Molecule: small RNA, 1550 nt
Filed under: Histoplasma capsulatum var. duboisii H88
Lineage: Eukaryota; Fungi; Ascomycota; Eurotiomycetes; Onygenales; Ajellomycetaceae
Description: Histoplasma capsulatum H88 hypothetical RNA
Source: RNAcentral